This 460-nucleotide ribosomal RNA is filed under the name uncultured bacterium. Its description in RNAcentral is "partial 16S ribosomal RNA". It matches the Rfam family "Bacterial small subunit ribosomal RNA", at positions 338 to 795 of the family's 1533-position model. The record is from RNAcentral.
CCUACGGGUGGCAGCAGUGAGGAAUAUUGGUCAAUGGGCGCGAGCCUGAAGCAGCCAAGUCGCGUGAGGGAAGACGGUCCUAUGGAUUGUAAACCUCUUUUGUCGGGGAGCAAAAGACGCCACGCGUUGCGUUCCGAGAGUACCCGAAGAAAAAGCAUCGGCUAACUCCGUGCCAGCAGCCGCGGUAAUACGGAGGAUGCGAGCGUUAUCCGGAGUUAUUGGGUUUAAAGGGUGCGCAGGCGGAAGAUCAAGUCAGGGGUGAAAUCCCCGCGCUCAACGUGGGAACUGCCUUUGCAACUGGCAAACUGGAGUGUGUGAGAGGAUAGUGGAAUUACAGGUGUAGGAGUGAAAUCCGUGGAUAUCUGGAGGAAAAUCAGUGGCGAAGGAGACUAUCUGGCACAUAACUGACGCUGAGGAGCGAAAGCGUGGGUAGCAAACAGGAUUAGAUACCCGAGUAGUC